CGGGACGUGACAGUUUAGGCUGGGAGCAGAAAUAAUCAACACGCCCAUUAGAUACAGGAUGGAAUAAUGCUUCUAUUGGUUGGGUCCCUUCGAGGACAGAAGAGCUCCUUGGCACUGGAUGCCUCCGGGUCUGGUUGAGAGAGGAAUGGUUAGGAGAUUGUUCUGAGGAUAUGCAGACAUCAUCCAAAGCUUCCUACAUUCAGAUGAGGACAGAGGUUGGGCUAGAGCUUUGUAUGCUUGUUACCUAAGUAUGGUUCUGACCAUGUAAGCAGAUCACAGAAGCUGGAGGCAAAUAAUGCCAAGAUGGGAAAGCCACAUAAUGGAAGGAUCCCAGAUUUCAGAGCUGUCACUUGGAGGAGGGGCACACAGUGAAGGUGUCUAUCUAACCCACACCAUAUCUUCAUGAAGUGGCCAUAUGGAUUUGAUCCCUAUCCUUCAGAGGUGCUCAGCCUAAGGGAACAUGGGUAGAAGAUUAAGCACUGACCAGAGCCAGCCUUGACAAUGUGCUGAUGGCAACCU
RNAcentral lists this non-coding RNA (519 nucleotides) under Pongo abelii (Sumatran orangutan). The record is from RNAcentral. Lineage: Eukaryota; Metazoa; Chordata; Mammalia; Primates; Hominidae.